ACAGAGCCUCCUCAAACAGCAAGCAGCUGCCUUCACAUCAGAGUAAACACUGUGGAAGUCCUGGGAGUGAUUUACUGGUUUUAAUCAGAAACUUAAAAAAAGGCCAUGGGGUUUGGACUUCAAGAAAUAAUAUGAAUCUGAUAAUAUAAAUCAACACUAAUGGCUUACAACCAAGGCUGACUUUUAUUAGAGAAUACAGUAUCUAGGGUUAUUAGACGCACAUUUCCCAAAGGAAAGCUGGCUCAUUCCCUUCGAAGGCAGCUACUUGUCGGACACAGUGACUCCCAUUUACUUUUCAUUUGAUGGAGACUACAGAUGUAAUGUGGCCCCAUGCCCAUUUGAACCUGGGUUGGUGGACUGUUGGACUGUCUAUUAACAAUAGCCUGCAUCGCAUUGGCCUGUUGUGAAAUUAAUAACUUUUGAUCUGAAAAGUAAGGAUGAUCUAAUAACACAAGUUAUUAACAGUAGCAGUUGUACUUUAUCUUUUUUAUACAUUCUCAAAAGCAGAGGGACUGUGAUCAUGAGAUCACAUGUUAUCACUGUUGGAGAUAACAUUAUUUAUCACAUACUGCAAUUCAAUGUCGGGAUCAUGACUGCUUGUAUGGGUAUGGUGAGAGUGGUGAUUAUGGACUAUUUGACCGCUGGUCCCGCCUGUUAAGGGGAAAAGAAGAAGACACCGCCCUUUGAAAGAGGAACUGAUCUGGCGAUGCCAGGGGUGGACCGUGACGAAGCCACGUCCUUCACCUCCCCCCGUCAAGGGGACUGCCUGCAUUAAGGUGGAAGUUGGGGAGGUGGAGGGUAGGAUUACAACUGGGAUUGUGACAGCACUGCCCAGUUUCAGAGUGCUACAAGACAACAUUUAUUGCAAAAGCAUUGGAAUUUUUCCAUCGCUUUCGAAGAAAAAGAUGAAGAAAAUUACAUAAUGUAAUUGUGGUUUACUAACAAGUUCAUCAAAAAAGCAGAGAUUGCACUGGUCAAUCUACACUUCAGCGCAGAAGCAACUUUAGGAGCCACUUAGUGAAGCAUGGGUACAACAUUAUAUGCAAAACAACACCUAAAGAUACAUCAAAGAAAGAUUUACAAAUUCCAGUGAAUGUCCUUGAAUUGAAAAGUACAUCUGGACCCCCAUCAUUGCAAACCAGUGCAGUGUGUGCAAAUCGACAUUUACUUGUCACACAUCAUUACGACUCCAUGCUGCACACCAACAUGGCUCUGGCAAGGACCCCAUUUUUUGUGUAGAUGUGCUGAAAGGAAUAUACUUCACAGGAAAAGCACAAAGUGGUCCAAGGGCUCCAGUUCACGUACGGAAAUCUUUUACAGCACAAAUUCUAGAUUGUGGACUUGAAGAAUGCCGAGAGUUCAUGGCUCUUGCUAAUAGGAGUGGCAAUCCAGGAAUGGAAUGCUGCCAUUUUCAAAGAACGGUGCAUUCACUCCCAUAUUCACCUCCAAAUCAAUUAUGCCAGCAGCCCCUUGACAGACUUUUGAGCAAAGGAUUAAAAUCUAACUUUCGGAAAGAUGAGUGUGCAAGCAUGGCAUCUCAAGCCUCAAUUGAAGGUGCUUGUGCAGUUCAUCCAGUGCUUUAUGAUGCCCAUGGCUUUUCAGAAAGAUAUUUUUAUUUUUUAGUUUACACUGGUAAACAAGACUACUGGUGUCGUCACAUUUGACACAAAAACAGGGCACUGGUACUGCCAGUGCAAGGGAAGUAAGAAAAUGUCAUUCUGUGUGCACAGAUACUUGUCAAUGUGGUGGAUAUACCAAGAAAAACAGGAGGUGCUCUGUGAAACUGUAUCUGAAUCCUUGGCAGACCAUGAAGAUACCACCAGUGUUGAUGGCAGUUCCAUUGCUGUAGAAACAUGUCAAUAAAUUUACAUUUCACUACCGUACAUAUUCAUGGAAAGUGUACAACUGCUUUAUUCGAUCACAUCAAGAAGGUGAUGGGUUUCUGUGCUAGCCUUCAUAAAACAUCAUUAGUCCUGGAUGUUCUUGGUCCAGAGAUGUCUUGGAAUGCCUUGGAAACCCAUUCCUGUGCCAUUCAUCCGGAGAAGCCCCUUCCUCCUUUUCUAUUUUGUAAUUUUGUUAUUUUCUAUUUUUUUUUAUAUACGACAUAUAUUUGUUUUAAUAAUG
Molecule: long non-coding RNA, 2124 nt
Organism: Acipenser ruthenus (sterlet)
Lineage: Eukaryota; Metazoa; Chordata; Actinopteri; Acipenseriformes; Acipenseridae
Exons: 7
Source: RefSeq, a predicted model, not a curated record